Molecule: long non-coding RNA, 562 nt
Organism: Entelurus aequoreus (snake pipefish)
Lineage: Eukaryota; Metazoa; Chordata; Actinopteri; Syngnathiformes; Syngnathidae
Exons: 4
Source: RefSeq, a predicted model, not a curated record
GCUUUCAACAGGAAGUGGAGUCCCGUUCAGUCUUCUAGCCGUCCAUGGUGUUUCUACUCAUAUGGAUUCUUCAUUCAUCACUCCAAGUAACGUAUUCUUCUUAGGUGUCAACGAUGGAAGAAAAACACUAAAUUGGACCGAACGAGCCUCCCUGAAAAGUAUCUCUUCUUAAAAUGGGUCACGUGGAUACCGCUGGAAAGGGACUCUUCUGAUUUCUUCCUGGAUUUCAGGUCUGAGUGGGCGGAGUUCUAAAGUCACACGUGACAACAUUUAAUGAUGCGCAUGAAUCUUAAAAGGCCCGUUGAGUCAGUUGGAUGGUUUCGGGUAGACACGGCGCUGUAAGCAGGAGGCACGGGACCAAUCUGCCUUUGUAGGAGUUGGAGGAUGACGUUGAUGUCGGCCGUCAUGCGCGUCUCUAAUCUGAGGAUGUCGGCAGAGAAUUCUGUCAGUAAUGUGCAGCGACCAGCAGCAUUCCACUUGUUUGCGGCCUAAAUGGGCUGCCAAACUUAAAGUAAACAAACUACAUUCAAUGAAAUGAUGAGUGGGUUUAUUUUUGUGUGUU